RNAcentral lists this microRNA (23 nucleotides) under Pristionchus pacificus. Its description in RNAcentral is "ppc-miR-8356a-5p". The record is from miRBase by way of RNAcentral. Lineage: Eukaryota; Metazoa; Nematoda; Chromadorea; Rhabditida; Neodiplogasteridae.
AAUUUGAGACUCGCAUGAUUGCA